UACACUGGCCGCACUUUUGGUGCUCGCGCCCGCAUUCUCCUGCGGGCGUAGUCAAACGGGAAACAGGAGCGAAGUCCUCCAGCGUGCUGCCAGGACGAGUCAACCUGUACUGCCCCCGCAACGGUAAGCGACCGUAACGCAAGUUGCAAGUCGUUCCAGGCGCGUUUUGCAUGAAGCCCGUAUGAAGAGUGAGGCUCUACAAGAACGUGACCAAGCCACUGCGCGCAUCGCGUGGGAAGGCGGAACGAACGUCGUCAGCCCGGAUACCAGCCAAUCGUCCUGCGUGUUC
Molecule: non-coding RNA, 289 nt
Filed under: unidentified
Source: RNAcentral